RNAcentral lists this unclassified non-coding RNA (239 nucleotides) under uncultured fungus. RNAcentral's name for it is "partial contains 5.8S ribosomal RNA, internal transcribed spacer 2, and large subunit ribosomal RNA". Lineage: Eukaryota; Fungi. The record is from RNAcentral.
AACGCACAUUGCACCCUCUGGUAUUCCGGGGGGUAUGCCUGUUCGAGCGUCAUUGCAACCCUCAAGCACUGCUUGGUAUUGGAUGCCACCACUGUGGUGCAUCUCAAAUGUAUUGGCGGUGGCAUUUGGCUUCUAGCGUAGUAAUUUUCUCGCUCUGGAGUUUGGGUGUCUUAACUGCUAGAACCUCUAAAUUAUUAAAGGUUGACCUCGGAUCAGGUAGGGAUACCCGCUGAACUUAA